Molecule: ribosomal RNA, 375 nt
Filed under: uncultured organism
Description: partial 16S ribosomal RNA
Rfam family: Bacterial small subunit ribosomal RNA
Source: RNAcentral
GUAGGUGGCAAGCGUUGUCCGGAAUUAUUGGGCGUAAAGCGCGCGCAGGCGGUCCUUUAAGUCUGAUGUGAAAGCCCACGGCUCAACCGUGGAGGGUCAUUGGAAACUGGGGGACUUGAGUACAGAAGAGGAAAGCGGAAUUCCAAGUGUAGCGGUGAAAUGCGUAGAGAUUUGGAGGAACACCAGUGGCGAAGGCGGCUUUCUGGUCUGUAACUGACGCUGAGGCGCGAAAGCGUGGGGAGCAAACAGGGAUUAGGUACCCUGGUAGUCCACGCCGUAAACGAUGAGUGCUAAGUGUUAGGGGGUUUCCCGCCCCCCUUAGUGCUGCAGCUAACGCAUUAAGCACUCCGCCUGGGGAGUACGGCCGCAAGGCUG